RNAcentral lists this ribosomal RNA (253 nucleotides) under uncultured bacterium. RNAcentral describes it as "partial 16S ribosomal RNA". It matches the Rfam family "Bacterial small subunit ribosomal RNA", at positions 524 to 776 of the family's 1533-position model. The record is from RNAcentral.
GACAGAGGCCUCGAGCGUUAGGCGGAAUCACUGGGCUUAAAGCGUGUGUAGGCGGGCCCGUAAGUGUCUUGUGAAAUCCCACGGCUCAACCGUGGAACUGCUGGGCAUACUGCGGGUCUUGGGCCAACUAGGGGCAGCCGGAACAAGCGGUGGAGCGGUGAAAUGCGCAGAUAUCAGGAGGAACACCUAUUGCGAAGGCAGCUCGCUGGGACGUAACUGACGCUGAGACGCGAAAGCGUGGGGAGCAAACAGG